UACGUAGGGUGCAAGCGUUGUCCGGAAUUACUGGGCGUAAAGCGUGCGUAGGUGGUUUGUUAAGUCUGCUGUGAAAGCCCCGGGCUCAACCUGGGAAUGGCAGUGGAUACUGGCAAGCUAGAGUGCGGUAGAGGGUAGUGGAAUUCCCGGUGUAGCGGUGAAAUGCGUAGAGAUCGGGAGGAACACCAGUGGCGAAGGCGGCUACCUGGACCAGCACUGACGCUGAGGCACGAAAGCGUGGGGAGCAAACAGG
RNAcentral lists this ribosomal RNA (253 nucleotides) under uncultured bacterium. RNAcentral's name for it is "partial 16S ribosomal RNA". It matches the Rfam family "Bacterial small subunit ribosomal RNA", at positions 524 to 776 of the family's 1533-position model. The record is from RNAcentral.